This is a long non-coding RNA of Thalassophryne amazonica, 101 nucleotides long. RefSeq lists it as uncharacterized. The record is from RefSeq and is a predicted model, not a curated record. The transcript is spliced from 3 exons. Lineage: Eukaryota; Metazoa; Chordata; Actinopteri; Batrachoidiformes; Batrachoididae.
CCAUACUGACAUCAAAGGUGGAAGCUCAAGCUUAGUCACGCAAGAUUUACACACUACUGAGCAUGAGCAUUGAGAAUGUAACAAGGGUGUAUUCAGGGGCC